Molecule: ribosomal RNA, 759 nt
Filed under: uncultured bacterium
Lineage: Bacteria
Description: bacterial SSU rRNA
Rfam family: Bacterial small subunit ribosomal RNA
Source: RNAcentral
AUUGAACGCUGGCGGCAGGCUUAACACAUGCAAGUCGAACGGUAACAGGAAGAAACUUGUUUUUUUGCUGACGAGUGGCGGACGGGUGAGUAAUGCUUGGGAAUCUGCUCUAUGGCGGGGGAUAACUACGGGAAACUGUAGCUAAUACCGCGUAAUAUCGAGAGAUUAAAGUGUGGGACCGUAAGGCCACAUGCCAUAGAGUGAGCCCAAGUGGGAUUAGGUAGUUGGUGGGGUAAAGGCCUACCAAGCCGUCGAUCCCUAGCUGGUCUGAGAGGAUGACCAGCCACACUGGGACUGAGACACGGCCCAGACUCCUACGGGAGGCAGCAGUGGGGAAUAUUGCACAAUGGGCGCAAGCCUGAUGCAGCCAUGCCGCGUGAAUGAAGAAGGCCUUCGGGUUGUAAAGUUCUUUCGGUGGUGAGGAAGGUUGUAAUGUUAAUAGCAUUAUAAUUUGACGUUAGCCACAGAAGAAGCACCGGCUAACUCCGUGCCAGCAGCCGCGGUAAUACGGAGGGUGCGAGCGUUAAUCGGAAUAACUGGGCGUAAAGGGCACGCAGGCGGAUACUUAAGUGAGGUGUGAAAGCCCUGGGCUUAACCUAGGAAUUGCAUUUCAUACUGGGUAUCUAGAGUAUUUUAGGGAGGGGUAGAAUUCCACGUGUAGCGGUGAAAUGCGUAGAGAUGUGGAGGAAUACCGAAGGCGAAGGCAGCCCCUUGGGGGAAUACUGACGCUCAUGUGCGAAAGCGUGGGGAGCAAACAGG